Molecule: unclassified non-coding RNA, 334 nt
Filed under: Hevea brasiliensis (rubber tree)
Lineage: Eukaryota; Viridiplantae; Streptophyta; Magnoliopsida; Malpighiales; Euphorbiaceae
Source: RNAcentral
CGCUGCCGCUGUCGCUGAUUACCAGCUUCGGGGUGAUGUACUUCGCCGGCUUCAGCCUCGACAACCUGUCGCUGAUGGCGCUGACCAUCGGUACCGGUUUCGUGGUCGACGACGCCAUCGUGAUGAUCGAGAACAUCGUCCGGCAUAUGGAGGACGGCGAGGGCGUGAUGGACGCCGCGCUGCGCGGCGCCAGUGAAAUCGGGUUCACGGUCAUAUCGCUGACGGUGUCGCUGAUCGCGGUGUUCAUCCCGCUGCUGUUCAUGUCGGGCCUCGUCGGGCGCAUGUUCCGGGAGUUCGCGCUGACGCUGACGAUUGCGGUCGUGACAUCCGCCGU